RNAcentral lists this ribosomal RNA (301 nucleotides) under uncultured bacterium. Its description in RNAcentral is "partial 16S ribosomal RNA". It matches the Rfam family "Bacterial small subunit ribosomal RNA", at positions 509 to 807 of the family's 1533-position model. The record is from RNAcentral.
CAGCAGCCACGGUAAAACGGAGGGUGCAAGCGUUACUCGGAAUCACUGGGCGUAAAGGACGCGUAGGCGGAUUAUCAAGUCUCUUGUGAAAUCUAACGGCUUAACCGUUAAACUGCUUGGGAAACUGAUAACCUAGAGUAAGGGAGAGGCAGAUGGAAUUCUUGGUGUAGGGGUAAAAUCCGUAGAUACCAAGAAGAAUACCUAUUGCGAAGGCGAUCUGCUGGAACUUAACUGACGCUAAUGCGUGAAAGCGUGGGGAGCAAACAGGAUUAGAUACCCCCGUAGUCCCUGUCUCUUAUAC